CGCCUCUUGCAAGAAUAAGAGGUCCCGCCUGCCCAGUGACAAUAUGGUUCAACGGCCGCGGUAUUUUGACCGUGCAAAGGUAGCGUAAUCACUUGUCUUUUAAAUGAAGACCUGUAUGAAUGGCAUAACGAGGGCUUAACUGUCUCCUCUUUCCAGUCAGUGAAAUUGAUCUCCCCGUGCAGAAGCGGGGAUGAAUACAUAAGACGAGAAGACCCUAUGGAGCUUUAGACACCAAGACAGAUCAUGUUAAGCACCCCGCACAUAACGACUCAAACUUAUUGAUCCUCUGUCCUAAUGUCUUCGGUUGGGGCGACCAUGGGGUAGCAUAAAACCCCCAUGCGGAAUGAGAGGACUCCUACAAGUAAGAGCCACAGCUCUAACUAACAGAAUUUCUGACCUUACAUGAUCCGGCUUCCGCCGAUCAACGGACCAAGUUACCCUAGGGAUAACAGCGCAAUCCCCUUUUAGAGCCCAUAUCGACAAGGGGGUUUACGACCUCGAUGUUGGAUCAGGACAUCCUAAUGGUGCAG
Molecule: ribosomal RNA, 530 nt
Filed under: Alectis ciliaris (African pompano)
Lineage: Eukaryota; Metazoa; Chordata; Actinopteri; Carangiformes; Carangidae
Description: partial 16S ribosomal RNA
Rfam family: Bacterial large subunit ribosomal RNA
Source: RNAcentral